This 375-nucleotide long non-coding RNA is filed under the name Phoenix dactylifera (date palm). RNAcentral's name for it is "long non-coding RNA (PDAC_LNC017449)". Lineage: Eukaryota; Viridiplantae; Streptophyta; Magnoliopsida; Arecales; Arecaceae. The record is from RNAcentral.
UUUGUAUUGUGAUCUGUUUUAGCUUACUAAUCAUUCAUUUGACACAAGUAAGAUAGUUAAAAUUAAAAGAAACCAAUUCACCCCCUCCCCCCCCCUCUUGGCUUGUCACCUUGGGCAACAAGUGGUAUCAGAGCAAGGUGCUCCAAUAGUACUCAUUAAUCUCAUAAUCAAGAGUUAAAGAUCAUGACAACCCAAGUGGGAUGUUCUAUGAGUGAGGGGCAAUCUACAAAUAGACCACCUCUAUUUAAUGGCACAAACUACACAUAUUGGAAAGCUAGGAUGAGGAUAUUCAUUCAACCUUCAGAUUAUGAAUUAUGGUACAUCAUUACUAGAGGACCUCACACACCCACACUUAAUAUAGAGGGCACUAUCAUA